This 1644-nucleotide long non-coding RNA is filed under the name Canis lupus familiaris (dog). RNAcentral describes it as "lncRNA (ENSCAFG00030025187.1)". Lineage: Eukaryota; Metazoa; Chordata; Mammalia; Carnivora; Canidae. The record is from RNAcentral.
AUGCCAGUGGAAUGUGUGUGGGCAAUGGAGGGCACGGGCAGGGUGGGGCCGAGGGGGGAACUGGAGGUGCCAGUUAGGUGGCUUUCUGAGCCAGGGGUGGGGGUGUGCCGGGGCGGGGGUGUGUGCCCUGUACUCCUACCAGGCUUUAAGCUGCAGCAUGCAUGUGCCUGUGUGUGUGUAUGUGCAUGUGUGUGUGUGUGUGUGUGUGUGUCUAUUUGGGAUACCCAAGCUCCAGGCACCCUGCACACACUGCCCCCUGCCCCCCAGCCCGUUCCUUUCUCUCCUUGCCUCAAGGAUACGGGACACUUCCUGUGGUCCUCAACUCCAACUCAGCAUCUGAGGAGUGACAGCAAGGGCAGGAGCCUCAGACCUGAGGGACUGCAACCCCCCUGGACUCACGGUCAUCUCAGCUUCUUGCCCUGGAGACCCCUCCUCCUCCUGGGGCUGCCCUGUCCCCCCCAACCAGGCGUCGGUUCUCUUACCCUCCGGCCACCUGCAGAGAUGCCCUCCUACAUUCUGGGUCAGGCCGAGGGACCUGGGCUGUCACUGGUGAAGACAGAGGGCCGGUCAGGGGGGGCGCCCAGGUCGCCGCCGCCCUCCUGCUCUUCCCCCCUUUGCUUUGGGCUCCCCGGGAGGGCGAGGACUCCCAGGACCCCCCUCCCGGCCGGAGGGGGCCAAGUGGGCGGGAUGCAGAGCCGCGCCUUGGGGGCCCCCAGCCCCCCCCCCCAGUCCACCGGCCUCCGAGCCGCGGCGCCCCGGGCCUGGCGGGCUCCGGCCCUUCCGACGGCCCGGCCGGGAGGAGGCGCUGGGGCCGCUCGGGCUCCGGGACCCCGCGGACGGCGAGGGCGGCCCUUCCACGCCCGGCAGCUCCCGCGUGGGCCCGACCCCGCCGCCCGCCGCCCGCCGCCCGCCGCCCCGGCCUGCUCCCCGCCCGGCUCACCUGCACGGGAGGCGGGGGCGAGCCCGGGCCCGGUCGCGUCGGGCGCCCCGGGAUGCGGCGGGGGCCGGGGCCGGGGCCGCGGCGGCGGGGGCCGGGGGGGCGCGGGCUCUAGGCUGGGACAGUCCCGGGGCCUCUCGGAGCCCGCCCGCCCACGUGACCGCCCCAAAAUAUCCGACACAUUUUCUCCCAAACCGCACACUGACUCUGCAGGCGGGGACACGGAAAAUAUUUUCUUUCUUUUUCUCCCUCCCCACCCCCCCUCCCUCCUCCCCCUCCCGCCCUCGCUCCUCCCUCCCCUGCCGCCUGCCCCUGCCCGGCUCCCUCCUCGGUGCCCCGGGGCCGGGGGCGGGGCGGGGCGGCCCGGGACGCCUGGGUCCCUGCCCUCCCGGCUCGCCCCCCCCCCCCCGGAGGCCGGGCCAAGCUGGCCCAAGCGCUCGGCGUGGCCCGGGAUGCCACCCUGCCCUGGCACCUCUCCCCUUCCUGCCAUCGAGGGGACCGGCCGGGUUGUCCGCGGCUGCGUGGUUGAGCGAGGCCGGGCUCUGCUGCCUGCCGAGGGGAGGCCAAGGCGCAGCAGUGAUGCCCCAGGGCAUGACCCCGGUGCCACCGUCUUUACCCUUCGCUUGGCCUCCCCGCAGGCCCUGGGGGGCUCCACUUCCGCCGGCCUGUCCCAGGUGGUCCUCGGUGCCAGGAGCAAACUGCUUUAA